RNAcentral lists this ribosomal RNA (352 nucleotides) under uncultured bacterium. Its description in RNAcentral is "bacterial SSU rRNA". It matches the Rfam family "Bacterial small subunit ribosomal RNA", at positions 917 to 1271 of the family's 1533-position model. The record is from RNAcentral.
GGACCCGCACAAGUAGUGGAGCAUGUGGUUUAAUUCGAUGAUACGCGAGGAACCUUACCAGGGCUUAAAUGUAAGUUGCAUAAGUUAGAGAUAGCUUUUUCUUCGGACUACUUACAAGGUGCUGCAUGGUUGUCGUCAGCUCGUGCCGUGAGGUGUCAGGUUAAGUCCUAUAACGAGCGCAACCCCUGUUGUUAGUUGCCAUCGAGUAAUGUCGGGAACUCUAACAAGACUGCCGGUGCAAACCGUGAGGAAGGUGGGGAUGACGUCAAAUCAUCACGGCCCUUACGGUCCUGGCUACACACGUGCUACAAUGGCCGGUACAGAGAGCAGCCACUACGCGAGUAGGAGCGAA